GAUGAACGCUGGCGGCGUGCUUAACACAUGCAAGUCGAACGGUGAAGCUCCAGCUUGCUGGAGUGGAUCAGUGGCGAACGGGUGAGUAACACGUGAGCAACCUGCCCCUGACUCUGGGAUAACAGCCGGAAACGGCUGCUAAUACCGGAUAUGCACCAUGAACGCAUGUUCUGCGGUGGUAAAGAUCUUUCGGUUGGGGAUGGGCUCGCGGCCUAUCAGCUUGUUGGUGAGGUAAUGGCUCACCAAGGCGUCGACGGGUAGCCGGCCUGCGAGGGUGACCGGCCACACUGGGACUGAGACACGGCCCAGACUCCUACGGGAGGCAGCAGUGGGGAAUAUUGCACAAUGGGCGAAAGCCUGAUGCAGCAACGCCGCGUGAGGGAUGACGGCCUUCGGGUUGUAAACCUCUUUUAGCAGGGAAGAAGCGAGAGUGACGGUACCUGAAGAAAAAGCGCCGGCUAACUACGUG
Molecule: ribosomal RNA, 469 nt
Filed under: uncultured bacterium
Lineage: Bacteria
Description: partial 16S ribosomal RNA
Rfam family: Bacterial small subunit ribosomal RNA
Source: RNAcentral